Molecule: ribosomal RNA, 562 nt
Filed under: uncultured bacterium
Lineage: Bacteria
Description: bacterial SSU rRNA
Rfam family: Bacterial small subunit ribosomal RNA
Source: RNAcentral
CCUACGGGAGGCAGCAGUGGGGAAUAUUGGACAAUGGGCGAAAGCCUGAUCCAGCAAUGCCGCGUGAGUGAUGAAGGCCUUAGGGUUGUAAAGCUCUUUUACCAGGGAUGAUAAUGACAGUACCUGGAGAAUAAGCUCCGGCUAACUCCGUGCCAGCAGCCGCGGUAAUACGGAGGAAGCUAGCGUUGUUCGGAAUUACUGGGCGUAAAGCGUACGUAGGCGGUUAUUCAAGUCAGAGGUGAAAGCCUGGAGCUCAACUCCAGAACUGCCUUUGAAACUAGGUAGCUAGAAUCACGGAGAGGUUAGUGGAAUUCCGAGUGUAGAGGUGAAAUUCGUAGAUAUUCGGAAGAACACCAGUGGCGAAGGCGACUAACUGGACGUGUAUUGACGCUGAGGUACGAAAGCGUGGGGAGCAAACAGGAUUAGAUACCCUGGUAGUCCACGCCGUAAACGAUGAUAACUAGCUGUUCGGUCUCUACGAGACUGAGUGGCGCAGCUAACGCAUUAAGUUAUCCGCCUGGGGAGUACGGUCGCAAAGAUUAAAACUCAAAGGAAUUGACGG